This is an unclassified non-coding RNA of Panthera pardus (leopard), 326 nucleotides long. Its record names the gene 7SK. It matches the Rfam family "7SK RNA". Rfam says of the family: 7SK was discovered as an abundant small nuclear RNA in the mid-70s but a possible function has only recently been suggested. Two independent studies have found that 7SK RNA binds the CDK9/cyclin T complex (known as elongation factor P-TEFb). Lineage: Eukaryota; Metazoa; Chordata; Mammalia; Carnivora; Felidae. The record is from Ensembl.
CGAUGUGAGGGCAAUCUGGCUGCGACAUCCGUCACCCCAUUGAUCGCCAGGGUUGAUUCGGCUGAUCUGGCUGGCUAGGCGGGUGUCCGCUUCCUCCUUCACCGCUCCAUGUGCGACCCUCCCGAAGCUGCGCGCUCGGUCGAAGAGGACGACCUUCCCCGAUAGAGGAGGACCGUUCUUCGGUCAAGGGUAUACGAGUAGCUGCGCUCCCCUGCUAGAACCUCCCAACAAGCUCUCAAGGUCCAUUUGUAGGAGAACGUAGUCUAGCUUGCAAGAAUCCAGACACAUCCAGAUGAGGUGCUGCACCUGGCAGUCUGCCUUUCUUA